UGGGGAAUUUUGGACAAUGGGCGAAAGCCUGAUCCAGCCAUUCCGCGUGAGUGAAGAAGGCCUUCGGGUUGUAAAGCUCUUUUGUUAGGGAGGAAAUCCUAGUGGCUAAUAUCCAUUGGGGAUGACAGUACCUAAAGAAUAAGGACCGGCUAACUACGUGCCAGCAGCCGCGGUAAUACGUAGGGUCCAAGCGUUAAUCGGAAUUACUGGGCGUAAAGCGUGCGCAGGCGGCAGAUUAAGCUAGAUGUGAAAUCCCCGAGCUCAACUUGGGAACUGCGUUUAGAACUGGUCAGCUAGAGUACGUCAGAGGGGGGUAGAAUUCCACGUGUAGCAGUGAAAUGCGUAGAGAUGUGGAGGAAUACCGAUGGCGAAGGCAGCCCCCUGGGAUGAUACUGACGCU
This 400-nucleotide ribosomal RNA is filed under the name uncultured bacterium. RNAcentral describes it as "bacterial SSU rRNA". It matches the Rfam family "Bacterial small subunit ribosomal RNA", at positions 355 to 747 of the family's 1533-position model. The record is from RNAcentral.